RNAcentral lists this ribosomal RNA (857 nucleotides) under Amanita rubrovolvata. RNAcentral's name for it is "eukaryotic LSU rRNA". It matches the Rfam family "Eukaryotic large subunit ribosomal RNA", at positions 81 to 918 of the family's 3401-position model. Lineage: Eukaryota; Fungi; Basidiomycota; Agaricomycetes; Agaricales; Amanitaceae. The record is from RNAcentral.
UAGUAACUGCGAGUGAAGAGGGAAGAGCUCAAAUUUAAAAUCUGGCAGUCUUUUGCUGUCCGAGUUGUAAUCUAGAGAAGUGCUGCCCGUGCUGGACCAUGUACAAGUCUCCUGGAAUGGAGCGUCACAGAGGGUGAGAAUCCCGUCUUUGACAUGGACUGCCAGUGCAUUGUGGUAUGCUCUCAAAGAGUCGAGUUGUUUGGGAAUGCAGCUCUAAAUGGGUGGUAAACUCCAUCUAAAGCUAAAUAUUGGCGAGAGACCGAUAGUGAACAAGUACCGUGAGGGAAAGAUGAAAAGAACUUUGGAAAGAGAGUUAAACAGUAUGUGAAAUUGUUGAAAGGGAAACGCUUAAAGUCAGUCGUGUCGGCCAGGGAUCAACUCAGUUGUUUCUGCUGGGUGUACUUCCUGAUCUGAUGGGCCAACAUCAGUUUUGACUGCUGGAGAAGGAUAGAGGGAAUGUGGCACCUCUGGGUGUGUUAUAGCUCUCUGUCGGAUGCAGUGGUCAGGACUGAGGAAAGCAGCAUGCCGCAAGGCUGGGUUUUUAACCACGUUCAUGCUGAGGAUGUUGGCAUAAUGGCUUUAAUCGACCCGUCUUGAAACACGGACCAAGGAGUCUAACAUGCCUGCGAGUGUUUGGGUGGCAAACCCGAGUGCAGAAUGAAAGUGAAAGGUUGAGAUCCCUGUCAUGGGGAGCAUCGAUGCCCGGACCUGAGCUUUUAGCAAAGGAUCUGCGGUAGAGCAUGUAUGUUAGGACCCGAAAGAUGGUGAACUAUGCCUGAAUAGGGUGAAGCCAGAGGAAACUCUGGUGGAGGCUCGUAGCGAUUCUGACGUGCAAAUCGAUCGUCGAAUUUGGGUAU